UACCAGCAGGCCUUUAUCAACUACGGUUCCCAUGACAACCAGCGUCUGAUGCUAGAGUACGGAUUUGUUGCCGCCUGCAACCCCAACAGCGUGGUCUAUGUGGAGACAGAUGUCCUCUGUGAGGUUUUAAGAGGAGACAGGAGUUUGGAUCAGAAGAUGAAGUUUCUCAGAGAAAACAAUUUUCUUCAUAAUCUCACUGUGUCCAGUGAAGGUCCAAGUUGGAGGCUGAUGACCGCCCUCAGACUGUUGUCCCUGCCACAGAC
Non-coding RNA from Plectropomus leopardus (leopard coralgrouper), 263 nucleotides. NCBI's taxonomy places the organism in Eukaryota, Metazoa, Chordata, Actinopteri, Perciformes, Serranidae. The record is from RefSeq and is a predicted model, not a curated record.